Molecule: ribosomal RNA, 241 nt
Filed under: uncultured Lactobacillus sp.
Lineage: Bacteria; Bacillati; Bacillota; Bacilli; Lactobacillales; Lactobacillaceae
Description: partial 16S ribosomal RNA
Rfam family: Bacterial small subunit ribosomal RNA
Source: RNAcentral
UAACCUGCCCAAGAGAUCGGGAUAACACCUGGAAACAGAUGCUAAUACCGGAUAACAACAGAUGAUGCCUAUCAACUGUUUAAAAGAUGGUUCUGCUAUCACUCUUGGAUGGACCUGCGGUGCAUUAGCUAGUUGGUAGGGUAACGGCCUACCAAGGCGAUGAUGCAUAGCCGAGUUGAGAGACUGAUCGGCCACAUUGGGACUGAGACGACGGCCCAAACUCCUACGGGAGGCAGCAGCG